Molecule: ribosomal RNA, 247 nt
Filed under: uncultured bacterium
Lineage: Bacteria
Description: partial 16S ribosomal RNA
Rfam family: Bacterial small subunit ribosomal RNA
Source: RNAcentral
AUACGUAGGGGGCAAGCGUUAUCCGGAUUUACUGGGUGUAAAGGGAGCGUAGGUGGUUCGGCAAGUCAGAUGUGAAAGCCCGGGGCUCAACCCCGGGACUGCAUUUGAAACUGCCGUACUAGAGUGCAGGAGAGGUAAGUGGAAUUCCUAGUGUAGCGGUGAAAUGCGUAGAUAUUAGGAGGAACACCAGUGGCGAAGGCGGCUUACUGGACUGUAACUGACGUUGAGGCUCGAAAGCGUGGGGAGC